GAUGAACGCUGGCGGCGUGCCUAAUACAUGCAAGUCGAACGGAGAGAGGAGAUUUCGGUUGAAUCUCUUAGUGGCGAACGGGUGAGUAACGCGUUGGUGACCUGCCCCGAAGAGGGGGAUAACAGCUCGAAAGGGCUGCUAAUACCCCAUGAGAUCUACCCGGUUAGAGGAGGUAGAUGAAAGGAGCAAUUCGCUUCGGGAGGGGCCUGCGUCCCAUCAGCUAGUUGGUAGGGUAAAGGCCUACCAAGGCAAAGACGGGUAGGGGGCCUGAGAGGGUGACCCCCCACACUGGCACUGAAACACGGGCCAGACACCUACGGGUGGCAG
This 327-nucleotide ribosomal RNA is filed under the name uncultured Chloroflexota bacterium. Its description in RNAcentral is "bacterial SSU rRNA". It matches the Rfam family "Bacterial small subunit ribosomal RNA", at positions 28 to 351 of the family's 1533-position model. The record is from RNAcentral. Lineage: Bacteria; Bacillati; Chloroflexota.